Molecule: long non-coding RNA, 458 nt
Filed under: Brassica napus (rape)
Lineage: Eukaryota; Viridiplantae; Streptophyta; Magnoliopsida; Brassicales; Brassicaceae
Description: long non-coding RNA (BNAP_LNC007067)
Source: RNAcentral
UAUGUGACCAGAUUUUGUGAUUAUUAACAUAAAAUAAUUAUAGUAGCAUUUAUUUUCAAAUACCAGAAAAAUAGUGUUUAGAUAUAAUUUUUACUGUCAGUUAUGAUGAUCAUUAUUUACAACAUUUAUUAACAUAUUAUAUGAACCAAUUUUUUUAUACACAUAAUGUAAAACUUUUAUGUAAAAAUAAUGUAUAGAAACAUGACAAUACUUUAAAGUUUUUUAAUUAUAUUCAAAAUUUUAUGCGUAUACACGAAAUUUGUUUCUAAAAAUCUAACAUUUUAUUUGAAAUCUGAAACUUAACCGAAAACCGAACCUGAAACACAAAAGAAUAAUCUUGAUACCGAAGACAUAUUUCGAAACAGAAAAAUAUAUUUAAUAUACACAAAACAUUUUAGAUACUCAGGAUACCGGUUCAGAUCUCUGUAGAAUCCAAACCUAAACCGACACUGCGGGUC